Molecule: ribosomal RNA, 481 nt
Filed under: uncultured bacterium
Lineage: Bacteria
Description: bacterial SSU rRNA
Rfam family: Bacterial small subunit ribosomal RNA
Source: RNAcentral
AUUGAACGCUGGCGGAAUGCUUUACACAUGCAAGUCGAACGGUAGAGGGGGCAACCCCUUGAGAGUGGCGAACGGGUGAGUAAUAUAUCGGAACGUGCCCAGUCGUGGGGAUAACGUAGCGAAAGUUACGCUAAUACCGCAUACGAUCUACGGAUGAAAGCGGGGGACUCGCAAGAGCCUCGCGCGAUUGGAGCGGCCGAUAUCAGAUUAGGUAGUUGGUGGGGUAAAGGCUCACCAAGCCAACGAUCUGUAGCUGGUCUGAGAGGACGACCAGCCACACUGGAACUGAGACACGGUCCAGACUCCUACGGGAGGCAGCAGUGGGGAAUUUUGGACAAUGGACGCAAGCCUGAUCCAGCAAUGCCGCGUGAGUGAUGAAGGCCUUAGGGUUGUAAAGCUCUUUUACCCGGGAUGAUAAUGACAGUACCGGAGAAUAAGCUCCGGCUAACUCCGUGCCAGCAGCCGCGGUAAAGUGACUACU